AGUGAACGCUGGCGGUAGGCCUAACACAUGCAAGUCGAACGGCAGCACAGUAAGAGCUUGCUCUUACGGGUGGCGAGUGGCGGACGGGUGAGGAAUACAUCGGAAUCUACUUUUUCGUGGGGGAUAACGUAGGGAAACUUACGCUAAUACCGCAUACGACCUACGGGUGAAAGCAGGGGAUCUUCGGACCUUGCGCGAUUGAAUGAGCCGAUGUCGGAUUAGCUAGUUGGCGGGGUAAAGGCCCACCAAGGCGACGAUCCGUAGCUGGUCUGAGAGGAUGAGUCGGCAAACUAGGAAUUAACCACAGUCCCGACUCCUACCGGAGGCCGCAGUGGGGAAUAUUGGACAAUGGGCGCAAGCCUGAUCCAGCCAUACCGCGUGGGUGAAGAAGGCCUUCGGGUUGUAAAGCCCUUUUGUUGGGAAAGAAAAGCAGCAGGUUAAUACCCCGCUGUUCUGACGGUACCCAAAGAAUAAGCACCGGCUAACUUCGUG
This 492-nucleotide ribosomal RNA is filed under the name uncultured bacterium. Its description in RNAcentral is "partial 16S ribosomal RNA". It matches the Rfam family "Bacterial small subunit ribosomal RNA", at positions 29 to 507 of the family's 1533-position model. The record is from RNAcentral.